Harpegnathos saltator (Jerdon's jumping ant) is the source of this 490-nucleotide long non-coding RNA. RefSeq lists it as uncharacterized. NCBI's taxonomy places the organism in Eukaryota, Metazoa, Arthropoda, Insecta, Hymenoptera, Formicidae. The transcript has 3 exons. The record is from RefSeq and is a predicted model, not a curated record.
CAGCGCGUUAACGUCUUUUUCGAGUCGCUCUGUGCCAACUGUACUUUCUGCACCUUCCUUUGGCUCGCGCCGUUUUCUUUUCUUUCUCUUGUUCCUCUCCCUCCUCGUAGGUCUCAUCGUUAAAUUACUGGAAUACAUGGAUCAUGUGCGAACAUGAGAUGAGAAGAUUUUCAACCGCGAGGCUCAGAUUUCACCCGCGUUUUCUGCGGGUAAGCAUCGGCUCGGCGACGAGGGAUAGCUGCAAGUAAUUGCACAGUUGGAGCACAGAUGGCGACGCUGUUCGGAUUGUCCGAUGACCGUUUGCAGUUAACUCAGACGCGCUCUUUGCUUCGAGAUUCUUUUCGGAUAAAAGAGAGGGACAGACGGUACUACACUUCAUCUUUUCUCGUCCGCCGACGUUGAUGAUUCCGAGAGCGGCUAUUUCAGGCGGGCUCUUUGCAGUUUUAUUUUCUCUCUAAAACUUAGAAGAAAGAGAGAAAGAGAGACGAGG